Molecule: long non-coding RNA, 1337 nt
Organism: Erinaceus europaeus (western European hedgehog)
Lineage: Eukaryota; Metazoa; Chordata; Mammalia; Eulipotyphla; Erinaceidae
Exons: 2
Source: RefSeq, a predicted model, not a curated record
CCUAACUCCAUGUAAUUUGCAUGACAUUAUUGUUCUUUUUACUUUCAACUUAUAAGAUUUUGCAUUCUUCUACCCCCUACCAAGUAAUGCUCACCUCUUGUAUAAUAGAAGAACAGCGAGGCGAGCAUUUAGGAGUCAUGAGGACUCAGCUCCUGUGGCCAUUGUUGGUUGUCUGCUAGGGGAGCUGUAAUUCCAACAAUGUAGACAUCAACCUGGUUGUAGUACUACGGCUUUCACUAUCUUGGAAACUUGGUGUAUUCUUUUACUGUCACUUUUGGCAAUGCUUCAUUGAAUUUCUACAAUGGUUCAGCUCAUCUUUUGCCAAGGACAGUAUCUUCUUUUUACCUUUCCAUACAGAAUUUUCAUUCUUUGAGAUUUCAUUCUGUUGGAGUGACUGUGUCCCAUAGCAGAAAGAUGGCUUACUCAGUAUGUUCAAGGAAGGUAAUUGAACUUACUUGGUAUGUCUAAGAAGUGUUUUGGGACUAUGGUCCUCUAGAGGCUCUUUAGGAACAUUCUACUUUGAAUCCUUCAGAGAUUAAUCACUAUCAGCUGUGUUGUCACUUCUAACCUUACCUGUCUUGGGACAUCUAAAGAUUUCUGUAAAAAAAAAAAUUCUGUAAGAUUAGCCUUCUAUUACCUAAGGAAGCUGUUGGGAAAGGGUGCUGGCCAGAUUGCAGGUGACGUUAUGAAUGGCCUUAAAAGCAUAGGAUGAAUGACACAAAUAGUAGAGAGGGAGAUGAGAUUAAUCAUUCCUUAUACCUACACCCGUUAAUUUUUUUAAAUUAAAAACAGUCUUGCUUUCACCUUGUCUUUCUCAUAUAUUUUUAUUGCUAGGGUUGAGUUCUUUCAUUUCUAAAGAAAGAUACAAAAAUUAAAAAAUAAAUUUAUCUAUUGGAUAGAGAUAGCCAGAAAUAGAGAAGGAAGGGGGAGUUAGGUAGAAAAACAGAGAGACACCUGCAGCACUGCUUCACCACUCACAGAGCUUUCUCCCAACAGGUGGGUACUGGGAGCUUGAACUCAGGUCCUUCAUAGUAAUAUGUGAGCGCUAUGAGAUUUGCUAUUUCCUGGCCCCAAGAAAGGAGACCAAAACACAUGAUGAAGAACUAAUUCAGCACUUGUUGGAAUGCAUGGGAAAGGAGAAACUUUAAGAAGUUGUUGAGACUUUAUAUUAAGAAAUAGUCUAGGAAUGGUGAAAUAAGUAUUAAAAGUGGUAAACAAAAUUGUUUUGAUAAAGUAUGUUUUGUUAAGAAUCCUGGCUGUUCAUGGCUUCUGCAUACAAUAAUGUUUAAAUUUUGUUUGUACUUAAAAUUGUCAAGGAAAUAAAUUGUUUAACUGGA